Molecule: ribosomal RNA, 442 nt
Filed under: uncultured bacterium
Lineage: Bacteria
Description: partial 16S ribosomal RNA
Rfam family: Bacterial small subunit ribosomal RNA
Source: RNAcentral
CCUACGGGAGGCAGCAGUGGGGGAUAUUGCACAAUGGGGGAAACCCUGAUGCAGCGACGCAGCGUGGGCGAAGAAGUAUUUCGGUAUGUAAAGCCCUAUCAACAGGGAAGAAGAAAUGUCGGUACCUGAGUAAGAAUCACCGGCUAAAUACGUGCCAGCAGCCGCGGUAAUACGUAUGGUGCAAGCGUUAUCCGGAUUUACUGGGUGUAAAGGGAGCGCAGGCGGCACGGCAAGCCUGAUGUGAAAGCUCGCGGCCCAACCGCGGGAUUGCAUUGGGAACUACCGGGCUGGAGUGCCGGAGAGGUAGGCGGAAUUCGUAGUGUAGCGGUGAAAUGCGUAGAUAUUAGGAAGAACACCAGUUGCGAAGGCGGCCCACUGGACUGUGACUGACGCUGAGGCUCGAAAGUGUGGGGAGCAAACAGGAUUAGAUACCCUUGUAGUC